UAUUUAUUUUUGUGUGUGGAGGAAUUGAAGAAGAUAAAUUAUGCUUGGCUUGGAAAGUGGAGUUCACGUGUGUUGUGGCUUGGCUUUCAUGUUUAUUCCUUUGGUGAGCAGCAGGGUUCUAGCUAGCAUGUAUUCUUUGUUUAGUCUACAAAUAAUGGAGUCUUAGCAAUUCUUAGGAAUUUUAUAUUUAGGUAUUUUUGGAGUGUUUUGAUCUCUUUUGAAAGUGAUAUAUCAGCCUAUUUAAAGGCUAAACAGUAGGAGAAGAAAAAGAGAUGAAUGAAUCAGAAAAAUAUGAGAGUAGGGUGGAGGAGUAGUAGAAACGAAGAAGUAAGCAAGUGUUUUGAGAUUUUGACUCUUAGUUUUGGUGUCUACUUUACGUACCGGUGUGGGCCAAGUAGUUAAUCCCACAGAUUCUUCGGGCUAUUCUACUCAUUGGGGGUGCGUCUCAAUUGGGAGUAUAUAUGCAUACUUAAGGAAUUAGACUCGGGCCAAUUGAGAUUCUUCAAUGUUGUGGUGCUGUGCAAUAUAAUCACCAAACCAUCUAGUUAAGUGGCAUUAGAGAUCAGAACACAAAUUAAACCUAAAAGAAUAUAAUGGCUUCAAGGGGUGCCCUCUUCGUGGAGAUCUUGCUUGCUGUCUUUCUGCCACCUUUGGGAGUUUUCUUCAGACAUGGCUGCUGCAGUGUAUGAUACCAUAUAUACUCCAUAUAUCUCUCAUCAAACCUCUUUGGUUCCUUGUGUUUUCCUUUAUCUCUUUUGUUUGGAUCUAAUAUUAAGGAUGGCAAUAAGGUGUAGUGGAACAAGAGCGGGAAUGAGAUGAGGCAAGGCGGGACGGGAAAUAUACUCCCCUCCUUGUCCCUGCCACCCCAUUCGGCGGUUCUGGUCUCCAUCACCAUUCUAGCCGGAGAAUCUAUAAUUUUAUUCAUUUUUCUCUCCCUAAAGAAUUUUUAGGGAAGUGAAAUUCCCCCUUGAUCAACCCUAUAGGGAAGUGAAAGCCCUAGCCAUGGCCGACUCCUCUCAUUCCUCUUCUUCCGACCUUUCUCCACUGGAUUCUUUUCCAUCCGACUUUUAUCGCCUUGUUCCACCCGAGAUUUCUCCAACCCACUAUCCUCCACCCGACCCCUCCGUUCUGGAAUUUAUAGAAUUUUCAGAGAACUAUCUGGCGAGUUUACCUUUGGAGUGGCCAUCGGAACCAAAACUCUGUCCCUUGCCUUGUAGCCAAUAUAAAACAUCAAUUGACAUCAUUAGAGAGGAAAAACCUUGAAGAGUACAAAAUUAUUAUUGAUAUAUGUAAAUUGGCUCUUGAACAGUAUGAGUCAGAAGAAUUGUAUGAUUUUGAGAGCGUGCCUGAGGGUGAGGAGGUGCCGGCUGUGGGAUGUAUGCAGUAUACUCUCAAGUUUCGAGCUAUGAAGGUGGAUGGUCCUGUAGAAGUGUUUGAAGUUACUGGCCAGCUUAUGGGAGGGGAUCUGAUCAUAAAAGAAUGUACCCCGAAAUAGGGUGUUUUUCCUUGUUGGGUUUUCCUUCUGGACUUGACUUGGGAAUUUCUACUUAAUUUGCACCUACUGCCUCGGGGAUGUUUUUCAAAUAAUAUGUAUUGCACUAAUUUCUGUAGUUUCAAUAAUGUAGUUUGGACCCCUAUUGCUAUUAUAUCAAUUAUGGCUUGUCUUAAAA
Molecule: long non-coding RNA, 1670 nt
Organism: Ipomoea triloba (trilobed morning glory)
Lineage: Eukaryota; Viridiplantae; Streptophyta; Magnoliopsida; Solanales; Convolvulaceae
Exons: 3
Source: RefSeq, a predicted model, not a curated record